AUGGAGUUGCUAUCUCAUGAGGAUUUUGUGUUGGUCGCCGUAACUUUAUGGGCCAUAUGGCAUUCCAGGCGUAAGGCGAUUCAUGAAGCUAUAUUCCAAAGUCCCCAUACGACUCAUGGUUUCAUCACAAGGUUUAUAGCUGACCUUGGUAUUGUUAACGAGAAAAACGAAAGAGGGGCGGCGACAGUCGUCACACACGAUCAGGCGCAUACACGGCCAAGGAACCCACCAAUAGGACAUUUCAAGAUACAUGUGGAUGCGGGAGUGGCAGGUAGAAGGGGAGGAUCAGUUGCGGAUGUUUGCAGAGAUGAAGAAGAAAAUUACAUGGGUAGCUCAGCCCUUGUUGUCGAAGGGGUCACGGACCCAGCCUCCCUUGAAGCGAUGGCAUGUCGGGAGGCCUUGGCCCUUGCAGAGGAUCUUGGAAUCCAAAACCUGGUGGUGGCUUCGGAUUGCCAACAGGUGGUAUCUGACAUCAAUAAAAAUGCUAGGAGAACAUAUGGAGCGAUUGUUAGCGAGAUUAAUCUGAGAGCACCUCCUUUGCACUGUACUUUUGUGUUUGAGAGUCGUGUUGUUAAUGUUGAAGCACAUCGUUUAGUCAAGUUUUCUUUUUCUAGAGGUCCAAGACGCCAUGUUUGGUUUGAUGCUCCUCAUGAUAUCAGAUGUAUCCCACUUUAUGUGGAUUUUCAUGAAUAA
This 693-nucleotide ribosomal RNA is filed under the name Triticum aestivum (bread wheat). Its description in RNAcentral is "partial small subunit ribosomal RNA". Lineage: Eukaryota; Viridiplantae; Streptophyta; Magnoliopsida; Poales; Poaceae. The record is from RNAcentral.